AAAUUUCUGGAAUAUGCGUUAAGCUCUUAUUUUGAACCUACAUUUAAUUUUAGGGAGUUCAAUAUUUAAAUGAGGAAAUGUACCUUCUUGUGAGUCCUUUUCACGGCAUUGAGGGCGAUUGAGACAUCUGUGAGGACACCCACCUAUCGUGAGAUAGGCUUCAAAAUUAGAGUACCGGUAUUUUGGAUUUUAU
This 193-nucleotide non-coding RNA is filed under the name Clostridium sp. Its description in RNAcentral is "6S RNA". It matches the Rfam family "6S / SsrS RNA". From Rfam's summary of the family: E. coli 6S RNA was the first non coding RNA to be sequenced, but its function was unknown until recently. The record is from RNAcentral. Lineage: Bacteria; Bacillati; Bacillota; Clostridia; Eubacteriales; Clostridiaceae. RNAcentral also lists the same sequence under 1 other name.